This 253-nucleotide ribosomal RNA is filed under the name uncultured bacterium. Its description in RNAcentral is "partial 16S ribosomal RNA". It matches the Rfam family "Bacterial small subunit ribosomal RNA", at positions 524 to 776 of the family's 1533-position model. The record is from RNAcentral.
UACGUAGGUGGCAAGCGUUGUCCGGAUUUACUGGGCGUAAAGGGCGUGCAGGCGGUUUGUUAAGUCUAGGGUGAAAGCUCCCGGCUCAACUGGGAGAGGUCCUUGGAUACUGGCGGACUUGAGGGAGGCAGAGGAAAGUGGAAUUCCCGGUGUAGUGGUGAUAUGCGUAGAUAUCGGGAGGAACACCAGUGGCGAAGGCGGCUUUCUGGGCCUUACCUGACGCUGAGACGCGAAAGCGUGGGGAGCGAACCGG